AAAGUUUCACUCUGUGUCUCUAUUCGUCUUCUUUCGUUCUCUAUCUGCGUUGUGCUUCAUCUUCUGAUUUCUUCUAAGAAAAUUGGGGAUUCUUCCAGGUUUUUUGGGGUUCCUUUGGCUUCUCUUUAUUCGUUGUUGAAUACGAAAAUUGGGGGAUUUCAUUGUUUGUUCUUCAAUAAGAAAAUUUGGGGUUUUGCUAGGUUUUUCUCUCGCUGACAUAAACACAAGAUUGAAAGAUGUCGACCAAUAAGAAGCAUUUACCGUCACCUUGCUGUCCGCAGAAAAAAAAAGCAACAGUACUCAGCAGAAAUAGUCUCUAAAAUUAACUGUAGGAGAUGUGAUCUGUACAGGCAAUUAUCAGUUGAUAAAAGAGAGUUGCUUUUACCGCAACGAUGAUAAAAAAAGCUUGAAUUAAUAAAGGGUCAAAACGCACUGCUUGAAUAUACCAAACAAACUGCUGGGUUUGAGUUAUCUACACAAAAAACUCUGACGAUAGCUGACCCACCAUGUGUUACUGGGACAGGUUAGAAACCAAAAAAGAUUUAUUCCAGAAAAAGGGACAUUUACACACACACUUCUUGUAGACACAAAUAUAUGCAUGUAUAUAUGUUUUCUUCUUCGUGACUGUACUUAAAUGCAAUUUGCUCUUGCUAUUUGGAUUCGCAUAUUAGCCAGUAUAUCUUCGGUUACGGAGGCAGUAGCUGAUUGUGACAAAGGAAAAAAUAUUACUGACCACUUCUCCAUUUCCGAACAUGGUUCGACCUCUGGUGUACCCUGUGAAGUGUGAACAGCAUCAUGCAAAUACAUCUACUGUCACAAAUAAAGUUUUGCCUCCAUUUAACCUUAUAACACCGUUUAAUCUUAUAACACCAUUUACUGCUACUCUCUUAUCAACACUAAUGGGAUAUAUUGUUGCAACUAAUAUACACAGGUUAUAGAUAAAAAAUAAUAGGUUGGAACUGGAACAUUAGAGAACUACCAAGUGAUGCAACCAUUUUAAAAACUGUAUCGAACUGUAAUAUUGUGGAGCAAAAAGGUUUGAACUAAGGUUUGACUGCAGGGUAAUAGAGGGAAUAAUGAACCGAUGGUCAAUAGUAGUAUCCACCUAGGGAAGGAGAUUGUAAAGGCUCUCUGUACUAUGGUCACGUGGGUACAUCGAACAAUGGGGAGGUUUUUAAAAAUGAGGCACGUGUGCUGCCUCAUUUUGCUGCUAUAUUAGACUUAAUCAUUUUCUUUUUAACCGAAACAUUUCUUGUAGCGCAAAGUGAUAACAGUAGCCAAUAUGGAGAGAAACUGUCCUUGUUUAUCUUUAUGUCUGGUUUCCCAAAGUUAUUCAAAGAAAUAUUUAUAAUAGGAAUUCAGAGUACAAAAUAUGUCCUGUAUCUUACUUAGAUGUUUAACUUGCAAGUUGGAUAACGUACGGCUUACUUAAAAUAGAAUUUCACUUUUUGCAGGUGUAAAUUUUAGUGACAGAAGUGUAACACUGGUUCCUAACUUAGUGAUGCUUGGGAGGAAAUGGUAGGGGCUGGCAGUUGUUAUUUAAGAGAGUAAGGAUGCAGGGAGUGCCUUUGGGGGGCAACUUUACCUUUACAACUGAAGGCUUAGCAGUAGAAGGAGAUUGUUAGUGGAUAAAUGAGGAUUUCUUUCAUGUACUUUUGACUGUAUACUAGCAGCUUACUUAUAUUUUCAUCCCACUUAAUGCCCUUGCUCUAAGGUUCUUAUAUCCUGAAAUAAGAAAGUGAUUGGCUUACCAAGGUAAGCUUAUUGGAUAAUAA
Nicotiana attenuata is the source of this 1775-nucleotide long non-coding RNA. RefSeq lists it as uncharacterized. The transcript is spliced from 4 exons. The record is from RefSeq and is a predicted model, not a curated record. Lineage: Eukaryota; Viridiplantae; Streptophyta; Magnoliopsida; Solanales; Solanaceae.